This 209-nucleotide ribosomal RNA is filed under the name Brachysporium sp. RNAcentral's name for it is "partial large subunit ribosomal RNA". The record is from RNAcentral. Lineage: Eukaryota; Fungi; Ascomycota; Sordariomycetes.
AAGCGCUCGUGACCAGACUUGCGCUCAGCGGAUCAUCCAGCGUUCUCGCUGGUGCACUCCGCUGUGCUCAGGCCAGCAUCGGUUUUUCUGGGGGGAUAAAAGCUUCGGGAACGUGGCUCCUCCGGGAGUGUUAUAGCCCGUUGCACAAUGCCUUCAGAGGGACCGAGGUUCGCGCUCUGCAAGGAUGCUGGCGUAAUGGUUACCGGCGA